Long non-coding RNA from Hypomesus transpacificus, 579 nucleotides. RefSeq lists it as uncharacterized. The transcript is spliced from 3 exons. The record is from RefSeq and is a predicted model, not a curated record. NCBI's taxonomy places the organism in Eukaryota, Metazoa, Chordata, Actinopteri, Osmeriformes, Osmeridae.
GCUGUGGGUACAAUGGGUGAGGGGCCAGAGUGUGAGAGGAAGGGAGUGCCCAGUCUUUGCUGCAGCAGGGACUGAUAGGAACAGCAACAGGAAGACAGGAAGUGGAUGAGAGCAUAGAGGAAGUGGUGCUUCCUUGCCCAGUAAGUCUUCCCACAGCAUCCGCAGGAAGUAUCAAUGGAGCAGAGAGCAGCCAAGCCAACCACACAAUAGACGACAGGGGGUGAAAGGGCAUGGAGCGUUCCAGUGACAACUAUGCCAUGCUUGUCAGGACAGAUGGAGGAAUGUGGAGGCUUUAGAAGACUGCAAGACCCACUCUGAAUGAACACAGUCAGACCCUGCCUGAAGAGGAAGAAGUCGACUUGGAUUCGUCAGAGUGAUCUCUUCCAUUUGACUUCUGCCAAGUUUCUUUGAAAAAUAACUUUUAUAGGGUGUUAGAAUGGAGAUUGAAGAAUCCAGAUUGAAUGUCAGUGCUUUGUAUUGUUGAAAAAAAAGUUGGAGAGUGACAGUUCCUUUUGACCCCACUGAUUUCGCAAAUCUAUUUUCUUAACUUUCCACUUUUUCAAAACUUAAACGCAAUUU